CAGCAGCCGCGGUAAUGCGUAGGCGGCAAGCGUUGUCCGGAAUUAUUGGGCGUAAGGGGCUCGCAGGCGGUUUCUUAAGUCUGAUGUGAAAGCCCCCGGCUCAACCGGGGAGGGUCAUUGGAAACCGGGAAACUUGAGUGCAGAAGAGGAGAGUGGAAUUCCACGUGUAGCGGUGAAAUGCGUAGAGAUGUGGAGGAACACCAGUGGCGAAGGCGACUCUCUGGUCUGUAACUGACGCUGAGGAGCGAAAGCGUGGGGAGCGAACAGGAUUAGAUACCCCCGUAGUCCCUGUCUCUUAUAU
RNAcentral lists this ribosomal RNA (301 nucleotides) under uncultured bacterium. Its description in RNAcentral is "partial 16S ribosomal RNA". It matches the Rfam family "Bacterial small subunit ribosomal RNA", at positions 509 to 809 of the family's 1533-position model. The record is from RNAcentral.